GGUGAGGUGGCCGAGUGGCUUAAGGCGCACGCUUGGAAAGCGUGUAAACGGGAAACUGUUUCGGGGGUUCGAAUCCCUUCCUCACCGCAA
Molecule: transfer RNA, 90 nt
Filed under: Flavobacteriales bacterium TMED84
Lineage: Bacteria; Pseudomonadati; Bacteroidota; Flavobacteriia; Flavobacteriales
Also listed under: 1 other name
Description: tRNA-Ser
Rfam family: tRNA
About the family: Transfer RNA (tRNA) molecules are approximately 80 nucleotides in length. Their secondary structure includes four short double-helical elements and three loops (D, anti-codon, and T loops). Further hydrogen bonds mediate the characteristic L-shaped molecular structure. tRNAs have two regions of fundamental functional importance: the anti-codon, which is responsible for specific mRNA codon recognition, and the 3' end, to which the tRNAs corresponding amino acid is attached (by aminoacyl-tRNA synthetases). tRNAs cope with the degeneracy of the genetic code in two manners: having more than one tRNA (with a specific anti-codon) for a particular amino acid; and 'wobble' base-pairing, i.e. permitting non-standard base-pairing at the 3rd anti-codon position.
Source: RNAcentral